RNAcentral lists this ribosomal RNA (253 nucleotides) under uncultured bacterium. RNAcentral describes it as "partial 16S ribosomal RNA". It matches the Rfam family "Bacterial small subunit ribosomal RNA", at positions 524 to 776 of the family's 1533-position model. The record is from RNAcentral.
UACGAAGGGGGCUAGCGUUGCUCGGAAUCACUGGGCGUAAAGCGCACGUAGGCGGACAUUUAAGUCAGGGGUGAAAUCCCGGAGCUCAACUCCGGAACUGCCUUUGAUACUGGGUGUCUUGAGUGUGGAAGAGGUGAGUGGAAUUCCGAGUGUAGAGGUGAAAUUCGUAGAUAUUCGGAGGAACACCAGUGGCGAAGGCGGCUCACUGGUCCAUUACUGACGCUGAGGUGCGAAAGCGUGGGGAGCAAACAGG